UGGGGAAUAUUGGACAAUGGGGGCAACCCUGAUCCAGCCACGCCGCGUGAGUGAUGAAGGCCUUCGGGUCGUAAAGCUCUGUGGGGAGGGACGAACGUCCCGUUGAAGAAACGGGGGUGACGGUACCUCCUUAGCAAGCACCGGCUAACUUCGUGCCAGCAGCCGCGGUAAUACGAAGGGUGCAAACGUUGCUCGGAAUCAUUGGGCGUAAAGCGCACGUAGGCGGCGCUGCAAGUCGGACGUGAAAUCCCUCGGCUCAACCGAGGACGUGCAUCCGAAACUGCAGUGCUCGAGUAUGGAAGAGGGUCGCGGAAUUCUCGGUGUAGAGGUGAAAUUCGUAGAUAUCGGGAGGAACACCAGUGGCGAAGGCGGCGACCUGGGCCAAUACUGACGCUGAGGUGCGAAAGCGUGGGGAGCAAACAG
RNAcentral lists this ribosomal RNA (423 nucleotides) under uncultured bacterium. Its description in RNAcentral is "bacterial SSU rRNA". It matches the Rfam family "Bacterial small subunit ribosomal RNA", at positions 355 to 775 of the family's 1533-position model. The record is from RNAcentral.